GUGGAAAUUACUCCUAAUCCCUAUUAGGGAUUGAAAC
Molecule: non-coding RNA, 37 nt
Organism: Desertifilum sp.
Lineage: Bacteria; Bacillati; Cyanobacteriota; Cyanophyceae; Desertifilales; Desertifilaceae
Source: Rfam